AAACUUAAAUGAAUUGACGGGGCCCGCACAAGCGGCGGAGCAUGCGGAUUAAUUCGAUGCAACGCGAAGAACCUUACCAAGGCUUGACAUACACCGGUAACGCCCAGAGAUGGGUGCCCCCUUUGUGGUCGGUGGACAGGUGGUGCAUGGUUGUCGUCAGCUCGUGUCGUGAGAUGUUGGGUUAAGUCCCGCAACGAGCGCAACCCUCGUCCUAUGUUGCCAGCGGGUCAUGCCGGGGACUCAUGGGAGACUGCCGGGGUCAACUCGGAGGAAGGUGGGGAUGACGUCAAAUCAUCAUGCCCCUUAUGUCUUGGGCUUCACGCAUGCUACAAUGGCCGGUACAAAGGGCUGCGAUACCGCGAGGUGGAGCGAAUCCCAGAAAGCCGGUCUCAGUUCGGAUUGGGGUCUGCAACUCGACCCCAUGAAGUCGGAGUCGCUAGUAAUCGCGGAUCAGCACGCCGCGGUGAAUACGUUCCCGGGCCUU
RNAcentral lists this ribosomal RNA (484 nucleotides) under uncultured Kribbia sp. RNAcentral's name for it is "bacterial SSU rRNA". It matches the Rfam family "Bacterial small subunit ribosomal RNA", at positions 897 to 1382 of the family's 1533-position model. The record is from RNAcentral. Lineage: Bacteria; Bacillati; Actinomycetota; Actinomycetes; Micrococcales; Intrasporangiaceae.